RNAcentral lists this long non-coding RNA (846 nucleotides) under Olea europaea subsp. europaea. Lineage: Eukaryota; Viridiplantae; Streptophyta; Magnoliopsida; Lamiales; Oleaceae. The record is from RNAcentral.
UAGAAAUUCAAUUUUUAUUUUAGUUAGAACAAUAUCAAGUAAAAAAAUCCUAACAAUUUCUAUGGAAAUUUAUGGUUCGACCAUCAUGUUUGACUUUUUCGAAAGUUCAUUAGCCAUCGACAUAAAUUUCACUACCUGCCUUGCAUGAACGCCAACUAAUGCCACCCUUUGAAAUUGUGGAAUAUACAUCCUCUAUUAAAACAAUUUGUUUGCCAAAAUCAUGUCAUAAAGAUAAACAUGGAGAACUUGCAAAUGACAACAUCAAUAUCUCCAUUUAUUGACUCGAACAACUGCCAAAAUCAUGUCAUAUAGGUAAACAUGGAGAACUUGCUAACAACAACGUCAAUAUCUCCAUUUAUUGACUCGAACAAUUAGCCUAAUAUGCUCUACAUUUUUCGAUAGUUUUUCUUGAAGUGUCCAAGCUGUUCAUGUUUGCCGAGAGCUAAUCUUUUUUUCAAAAUCUUAUGCAAUCCAGACUGAUUCAAAAUAUAAUUGACUUCUACUUAUCACAAGCCAAAAAAUUCUCCCGUAAAAUUUUUCCACGUAUUUACAUGUAUUUUCUAUACCCACCACUUCGAAUGACUUGAUGCUCUCAACUACUUUUUGGAAAUAUAUAAGCUACAAACCGUUCCUAAAAUUCCUUCCACUAUUCAUCUUAAUUCCCACAUGAACUUUGAUAGUGAUGCUACCAAAAAAUAUCACUUGAAGAUCUCGAACUUGAUGACUGAGAUGGAACACGAACUGCGCCUUCCAGUACCUGAAACAAAGGUAACGAGGUGUGUGCUCGUCGCCCCUCCGAUACUUAAGUCAGAUAGGGAAUUUAAUGCGUGAGGUUAUAAAUUGAGG